GCAAGUCGAGGGGCAGCAUGAUUGAAGCUUGCUUCAAUUGAUGGCGACCGGCGCACGGGUGAGUAACGCGUAUCCAACCUUCCGUACACUCAGGGAUAGCCUUUCGAAAGAAAGAUUAAUACCUGAUGGUAUGAUGAGAUUGCAUGAUAGCAUCAUUAAAGAUUUAUCGGUGUACGAUGGGGAUGCGUUCCAUUAGGUAGUAGGCGGGGUAACGGCCCACCUAGCCUACGAUGGAUAGGGGUUCUGAGAGGAAGGUCCCCCACAUUGGAACUGAGACACGGUCCAAACUCCUACGGGAGGCAGCAGUGAGGAAUGUUGGUCAAUGGACGAGAGUCUGAACCAGCCAAGUAGCGUGAAGGAUGAAGGUCUUACGGAUUGUAAACUUCUUUUAUAAGGGAAUAAAACCUCCCACGUGUGGGAGCUUGUAUGUACCUUAUGAAUAAGCAUCGGCUAACUCCGUGCCAGCAGCCGCGGUAAUACGGAGGAUGCGAGCGUUAUCCGGAUUUAUUGGGUUUAAAGGGAGCGCAGACGGGUCGUUAAGUCAGCUGUGAAAGUUUGGGGCUCAACCUUAAAAUUGCAGUUGAUACUGGCGUCCUUGAGUGCGGUUGAGGUGUGCGGAAUUCGUGGUGUAGCGGUGAAAUGCUUAGAUAUCACGAAGAACUCCGAUUGCGAAGGCAGCACACUAAGCCGUAACUGACGUUCAUGCUCGAAAGUGUGGGUAUCAAACAGGAUUAGAUACCCUGGUAGUCCACACGGUAAACGAUGGAUACUCGCUGUUGGCGAUAUAC
Molecule: ribosomal RNA, 788 nt
Filed under: uncultured bacterium
Lineage: Bacteria
Description: bacterial SSU rRNA
Rfam family: Bacterial small subunit ribosomal RNA
Source: RNAcentral